This 2839-nucleotide unclassified non-coding RNA is filed under the name Hevea brasiliensis (rubber tree). The record is from RNAcentral. Lineage: Eukaryota; Viridiplantae; Streptophyta; Magnoliopsida; Malpighiales; Euphorbiaceae.
AGCCAUGUAAAGAGGUAGAAAUAACCAACUAUAGACAAUAUAUAAUAUACUUAUUGAUAACUGUGCACUGUUUGGAAAGGCUGCAGAACCCACUUCUAGCUACCAUGCAAAUAAGUAUCUUAUAAUAACUACUAGUAAGAAAACCUUUAUAUUUUACCAUAAUCAAAAUGUAAGGCGGCCUAGAGUUACAACUUUUAACUACUCAUUGAGCCAACCUGCUGAGCUAUGAGGAUAAGGAUACUGAGGACCUGGAGCAAAGCCCAUUGAAUCAACAUGGCCGCCAGGAGGGCCUGGUCGAGGUGCUCUGGAAUCGUAUAUGAUAUUAUUUCUGUUCAACAUGGAUGGAUCAGAACCAAAAUUAUUCAUCCUUGUAUGGUUCAACUCAUCCAGUCGAGGUGCAUAUCGCUGCAUUGCAGGCAUGUUCAUCCUAUAGGAUGACUCUACAGCUGCACCCACGUGGCCAUAAGGGAUAGAUGAUAGUGGUCCCAUUUGGCCAUAUCCUGGUUCAAGACCACCCAAAUAAUUUCUUUGGACGGAAUAAUCAACAUCUUGUCCAUAAAAUCGAACUUGCGACCGCAUAUCUGACCCCCUCUCUAAUCCAGUGACAUAUGAUCGAUAACCAAUAUCCUCUGCAAUCUCUCUCAUGUUCCCUGUCGAUUGUUCCUCCAAGUUAGCAUGAGGAAAUCCAUGAAUGCCAUGUGAAUACUCCAUACCAUUCAUGCUGUAUUUGCUACCCACAUCUUCAUGAACAUAGGACAUGCUCCCACCAUAAGCUGUUCCAUAUGGCAGAUGUGAGCUAGGCAUGCCAGACUCCAAAUUUGGCAAACUAUUUUCGCCAACCUUUGUGUGCAUGGGCGUUUCAAGAGAUCUAGAUGGGGGACCUUCCUGUGAGGUUCUACCAUCAACCACGUUGGUUGGUGAACGAUGAGGCACUUCCUUGUUCGUAUCACUUCCAGAAGGCUUUCCACCUUUCCACUUGUUCUUGGGUAAUUUUUCACCCGUUCCUCUGCCAAUCUUAUCUUCAAUAUGCUUAGUCUUCCUUGAAGUCUCCUCAGACCGGUUUCUCUCAAGGCCGUGACUAUCUUGGCUUUCUUUGUCACCAUUUUCAUGAGGAGAGCAUUCUUUACGACCUCCAAUCAAAGCUAUCUCAUGAUUUGGUUCUUUACUUUCCAUGUAAAGAUCAUCUGUCACCUCUGAAGUACCAGGAUUGCAACAGUGAACCUCCACUGGAUGAUCAGGGGAUUUUAAGUCAUGGCAACUUUUUUCCAAAUUGGAUCCUCCCCGUCGCAUGAAUAAAUGAUCAUGCUUCUGAGCUAUGGCCUUGUGUUUUACACUCCAAUCAGGACGGCUCCAAAGAUAAAGAAGUGGGGCAGUCACGUUCCACUGUUCCAUUUGUUUAUCAUUCUCAUCAACAGAACCAGGUAGAUAAAAUGACUUCCCUGACAAAAACUGAUCAUCCUCCCAAACAAGAUCGUAAGGUGUACGCUUUUUGUCUAACCUUUCUGUUUCUGGUGGAACAAUCAGAAUAAGGAGUUUUGGUUUAAAUUCAAGUGCCUUAUCAAUGAACUUGUUAGCCAAUGCUGCUUUUACUCCAAAAGGAGGGUUGAGUCCCAUGAUCAACUGUGAACCACUUUUUGGCAGCUCAUCUGGUUGAACAGUCAUCCAAUCCCUCUUCUCAAAAUUGAAGUCAUUCUUUGGUUGGAAAACAUCAUAGUUUUUAUAUGAGCAUUUCUUCCCUGUCUCUUCAAGCUUCUUUUUCAUAAGACAACUAAAAUCAUUCGCACCACAACAGAAGUCAACAACCAUAUCACCAUCUUGUACAUACCAAUGGAGCACAUUGACAAUCUCUUUCAGUUUCUCCACUUUCGUAAAAUGGCGGCCAAAGGAUGUAUAACGCAUUCCAUAGAGAAAUGGUGCAAGAUACACUCUAAGCUUGUUCUUCCACUUAAAAACCUGAUUCAGAACCUCUGGUUCACAAACAGCUUUGGCAUCUUCAGUGCUGCAUCCAUCUUCUAGCUUCCUCAAAGCUGUCCUGACAGCCUCAACUGCACCCUCCACCUUUCCUGUCGUAAUUGUCUUGUCAACAACAGUUUUUGAUGAGUAUGCAUGUGUAGAUGGAACUUUAUGCUUUUUCUUGACAUCAUCCAUUGUUAUUGAUGAUGCAGCCUCUUUUAUUAAAGCCAAAAUUCUCUUCUCUGUUUCAGCGUCCAAUGAAGGUAAUUCAUUGCUUAACUUCCGGGCUGAAGUCUUAACUGUCAUAGUUUUAUUGAGUUCACUACUAUGCAAAACCUGCUUCUGAAGUUUUACUUGCUCAGACCUUUUAGUCAUAACCCUAUAUAAUCUGUCACCCAGUGAAGUCUUGUUUAUGGUAGUUGUUGCAGACCUAUCCACAUCUGUUGAGCAAGACUUUGUAUUUUCCUUUAAAGAUUUUCUGAAUGCAUCAUUUGUUUUCACUUUCCUCAACAAAUCUGAUCCAGAUGAUAUUUUUUCACUUCUUUUGAUACUUGCAACCUUUGUCACACCAGAAUAUGACCCAUUAAGUUCUUUAGCAACAGUUUUUGCUGAAAAAGAGUCUUCUGAUGUAAGCCUUCUUUUCUUUGGCAAAAGUUUCCCUGAGCUUCCAGGCAACUCUAAUAUCCGUUUUUUCUUCUUUUCUUCAACAUUAGGGAACCUUAUGUCUCUACUGGGAGUUCCAAGGUCAUCAAUGAUCUCAUGUUUUAAGCAAUAUAUUAAUACACGGUUUGGCAAUAGGCCCUCCCAUGCCCUUGCUGCUGCUGUCUCUUCCUCUUCUUCUUCUCCUCCUCCUCCUUUCCCUUCUUCUUCUUCUUCUUCUUCUUCU